UGGGGAAUAUUGGACAAUGGGCGAAAGCCUGAUCCAGCCAUGCCGCGUGUGUGAAGAAGGUCUUCGGAUUGUAAAGCACUUUAAGUUGGGAGGAAGGGCAGUAAGCGAAUACCUUGCUGUUUUGACGUUACCGACAGAAUAAGCACCGGCUAACUCUGUGCCAGCAGCCGCGGUAAUACAGAGGGUGCGAGCGUUAAUCGGAUUUACUGGGCGUAAAGCGUGCGUAGGCGGCUAAUUGAGUCGGAUGUGAAAUCCCCGAGCUUAACUUGGGAAUUGCAUUCGAUACUGGUUAGCUAGAGUGUGGGAGAGGAUGGUAGAAUUCCAGGUGUGGCGGUGAAAUGCGUAGAGAUCUGGAGGAAUACCGAUGGCGAAGGCAGCCAUCUGGGCUAACACUGACGCUGAGGUACGAAAGCAUGGGGAGCAAACAGG
Molecule: ribosomal RNA, 429 nt
Filed under: Pseudomonadota bacterium
Lineage: Bacteria; Pseudomonadati; Pseudomonadota
Description: Proteobacteria bacterium partial 16S ribosomal RNA
Rfam family: Bacterial small subunit ribosomal RNA
Source: RNAcentral